AGCAGCCGCGGUAAUUCCAGCUCCAAUAGCGUAUAUUAAAGUUGUUGCAGUUAAAAAGCUCGUAGUUGAAUUUCGGGAUCAGCAGGUCGGUCGUGCCACUGGUAUGCACUGGCCUUGCUGAUUCCUCCCUCUUGAUGAGCCGUAAUGCCAUUAAUUUGGUGUUGCGGGGAAUCAGGACUGUUACUUUGAAAAAAUUAGAGUGUUUAAAGCAGGCAUGCGCUUGAAUACAUUAGCAUGGAAUAAUGAAAUAGGACGUUCGAUCCUAUUUUGUUGGUUUCUAGGAUUGACGUAAUGAUUAAUAGGGAUAGUUGGGGGCAUUAGUAUUCAAUUGUCAGAGGUGAAAUUCUUGGAUUUAUUGAAGACUAACUACUGCGAAAGCAUUUGCCAAGGAUGUUUUCAUUAAUCAAGAACGAAAGUUAGGGGAUCGAAGACGAUCAGAUACCGUCGUAGUCUUAACCAUAAACUAUGCCGACUAGGGAUUGGAUGAUGUUAAUUUUUUUGAAUGACUCAUUCGGCGCCU
RNAcentral lists this ribosomal RNA (520 nucleotides) under uncultured Glomus. Its description in RNAcentral is "SSU rRNA". It matches the Rfam family "Eukaryotic small subunit ribosomal RNA", at positions 569 to 1088 of the family's 1831-position model. Lineage: Eukaryota; Fungi; Glomeromycota; Glomeromycetes; Glomerales; Glomeraceae. The record is from RNAcentral.